GGGGAAUAUUGGUCAAUGGGCGAGAGCCUGAACCAGCCAAGUAGCGUGAAGGAUGACUGCCCUAUGGGUUGUAAACUUCUUUUAUAAAGGAAUAAAGUCGGGUAUGGAUACCCGUUUGCAUGUACUUUAUGAAUAAGGAUCGGCUAACUCCGUGCCAGCAGCCGCGGUAAUACGGAGGAUCCGAGCGUUAUCCGGAUUUAUUGGGUUUAAAGGGAGCGUAGAUGGAUAUUUAAGUCAGUUGUGAAAGUUUGCGGCUCAACCGUAAAAUUGCAGUUGAUACUGGAUAUCUUGAGUGCAGUUGAGGCAGGCGGAAUUCGUGGUGUAGCGGUGAAAUGCUUAGAUAUCACGAAGAACUCCGAUUGCGAAGGCAGCCUGCUAAGCUGCAACUGACAUUGAGGCUCGAAAGUGUGGGUAUCAAACAGGAUUAGAUACCCUGGUAGUCCACACGGUAAACGAUGAAUACUCGCUGUUUGCGAUAUACUGCAAGCGGCCAAGCGAAAGCGUUAAGUAUUCCACCUGGGGAGUACGCCGGCAACGGUGAAACUCAAAGGAAUUGACGGGGGCCCGCACAAGCGGAGGAACAUGUGGUUUAAUUCGAUGAUACGCGAGGAACCUUACCCGGGCUUAAAUUGCAGAUGAAUUACGGUGAAAGCCGUAAGCCGCAAGGCAUCUGUGAAGGUGCUGCAUGGUUGUCGUCAGCUCGUGCCGUGAGGUGUCGGCUUAAGUGCCAUAACGAGCGCAACCCUUGUUGUCAGUUACUAACAGGUUCCGCUGAGGACUCUGACAAGACUGCCAUCGUAAGAUGUGAGGAAGGUGGGGAUGACGUCAAAUCAGCACGGCCCUUACGUCCGGGGCUACACACGUGUUACAAUGGGGGGUACAGAGGGCCGCUACCACGCGAGUGGAUGCCAAUCCCCAAAACCUCUCUCAGUUCGGACUGGAGUCUGCAACCCGACUCCACGAAGCUGGAUUCGCUAGUAAUCGCGCAUCAGCCACGGCGCGGUGAAUACGUUCCCG
Molecule: ribosomal RNA, 1017 nt
Filed under: uncultured bacterium
Lineage: Bacteria
Description: bacterial SSU rRNA
Rfam family: Bacterial small subunit ribosomal RNA
Source: RNAcentral